This 488-nucleotide ribosomal RNA is filed under the name Bacillus altitudinis. Its description in RNAcentral is "bacterial SSU rRNA". It matches the Rfam family "Bacterial small subunit ribosomal RNA", at positions 120 to 594 of the family's 1533-position model. The record is from RNAcentral. Lineage: Bacteria; Bacillati; Bacillota; Bacilli; Caryophanales; Bacillaceae.
GGUAACCUGCCUGUAAGACUGGGAUAACUCCGGGAAACCGGAGCUAAUACCGGAUAGUUCCUUGAACCGCAUGGUUCAAGGAUGAAAGACGGUUUCGGCUGUCACUUACAGAUGGACCCGCGGCGCAUUAGCUAGUUGGUGAGGUAACGGCUCACCAAGGCGACGAUGCGUAGCCGACCUGAGAGGGUGAUCGGCCACACUGGGACUGAGACACGGCCCAGACUCCUACGGGAGGCAGCAGUAGGGAAUCUUCCGCAAUGGACGAAAGUCUGACGGAGCAACGCCGCGUGAGUGAUGAAGGUUUUCGGAUCGUAAAGCUCUGUUGUUAGGGAAGAACAAGUGCAAGAGUAACUGCUUGCACCUUGACGGUACCUAACCAGAAAGCCACGGCUAACUACGUGCCAGCAGCCGCGGUAAUACGUAGGUGGCAAGCGUUGUCCGGAAUUAUUGGGCGUAAAGGGCUCGCAAGCGGUUUCUUAAGUCUGAUG